This is a non-coding RNA of Sarcophilus harrisii (Tasmanian devil), 114 nucleotides long. The record is from Rfam. Lineage: Eukaryota; Metazoa; Chordata; Mammalia; Dasyuromorphia; Dasyuridae.
GUGGGCUAUGGAGACAUCUACCCCAAGACCCUCUUGGGUAAAAUCGUAGGGGGGUUGUGCUGCAUUGCAGGGGUCUUGGUGAUCGCCCUUCCCAUCCCCAUCAUCGUCAACAAC